RNAcentral lists this ribosomal RNA (484 nucleotides) under uncultured bacterium. RNAcentral's name for it is "partial 16S ribosomal RNA". It matches the Rfam family "Bacterial small subunit ribosomal RNA", at positions 28 to 523 of the family's 1533-position model. The record is from RNAcentral.
GACGAACGCUGGCGGCGUGCUUAACACAUGCAAGUCGAACGAUGAAGCCGGAGCUUGCUCUGGUGAAUUAGUGGCGAACGGGUGAGUAACACGUGAGUAACCUGCCCUUGACUCUGGGAUAACUGCGGGAAACUGUAGCUAAUACCGGAUACGACCCUCGGAGGCAUCUCCUGGGGGUGGAAAGAAUUUUGGUCAAGGAUGAGCUCGCGGCCUAUCAGCUAGUUGGUGAGGUAAUGGCUCACCAAGGCGACGACGGGUAGCCGGCCUGAGAGGGUGACCGGCCACACUGGGACUGAGACACGGCCCAGACUCCUACGGGAGGCAGCAGUGGGGAAUAUUGCACAAUGGGCGAAAGCCUGAUGCAGCAACGCCGCGUGAGGGAUGAAGGCCUUCGGGUUGUAAACCUCUUUUAGCAGGGAAGAAGCGAAAGUGACGGUACCUGCAGAAAAAGCACCGGCUAACUACGUGCCAGCAGCCGCCGUAA